RNAcentral lists this ribosomal RNA (301 nucleotides) under uncultured bacterium. RNAcentral describes it as "partial 16S ribosomal RNA". It matches the Rfam family "Bacterial small subunit ribosomal RNA", at positions 509 to 809 of the family's 1533-position model. The record is from RNAcentral.
CAGUCGCCGCGGUAACACAGAGGGUGCGAGCGUUAAUCGGAUUUACUGGGCGUAAAGCGUGCGUAGGCGGCUUCUUAAGUCGGAUGUGAAAUCCCUGAGCUUAACUUAGGAAUUGCAUUCGAUACUGGGAAGCUAGAGUAUGGGAGAGGAUGGUAGAAUUCCAGGUGUAGCGGUGAAAUGCGUAGAGAUCUGGAGGAAUACCGAUGGCGAAGGCAGCCAUCUGGCCUAAUACUGACGCUGAGGUACGAAAGCAUGGGGAGCAAACAGGAUUAGAUACCCGAGUAGUCCCUGUCUCUUAUAA